AGCGGCGGAUGGGUGAGUAACACGUGGGGAACCUGCCCCUGAGUCUGGGAUACCAUUUGGAAACAGGUGCUAAUACCGGAUAAUAAAGCAGAUCGCAUGAUCAGCUUUUGAAAGGCGGCGUAAGCUGUCGCUAAGGGAUGGCCCCGCGGUGCAUUAGCUAGUUGGUAAGGUAACGGCUUACCAAGGCGACGAUGCAUAGCCGAGUUGAGAGACUGAUCGGCCACAUUGGGACUGAGACACGGCCCAAACUCCUACGGGAGGCAGCAGUAGGGAAUCUUCCACAAUGGACGCAAGUCUGAUGGAGCAACGCCGCGUGAGUGAAGAAGGUUUUCGGAUCGUAAAGCUCUGUUGUUGGUGAAGAAGGAUAGAGGUAGUAACUGGCCUUUAUUUGACGGUAAUCAACCAGAAAGUCACGGCUAACUACGUGCCAGCAGCCGCGGUAAUACGUAGGUGGCAAGCGUUGUCCGGAUUUAUUGGGCGUAAAGCGAGCGCAGGCGGAAAAAUAAGUCUAAUGUGAAAGCCCUCGGCUUAACCGAGGAACUGCAUCGGAAACUGUUUUUCUUGAGUGCAGAAGAGGAGAGUGGAACUCCAUGUGUAGCGGUGGAGUGCGUAGAUAUAUGGAAGAACACCAGUGGCGAAGGCGGCUCUCUGGUCUGCAACUGACGCUGAGGCUCGAAAGCAUGGGUAGCGAACAGGAUUAGAUACCCUGGUAGUCCAUGCCGUAAACGAUGAGUGCUAAGUGU
RNAcentral lists this ribosomal RNA (743 nucleotides) under uncultured bacterium. RNAcentral describes it as "bacterial SSU rRNA". It matches the Rfam family "Bacterial small subunit ribosomal RNA", at positions 94 to 823 of the family's 1533-position model. The record is from RNAcentral.